AUUGAACGCUGGCGGCAUGCCUUACACAUGCAAGUCGAACGGCAGCAUGAUCUAGCUUGCUAGAUUGAUGGCGAGUGGCGAACGGGUGAGUAAUACAUCGGAACGUGCCCUGUAGUGGGGGAUAACUAGUCGAAAGAUUAGCUAAUACCGCAUACGACCUGAGGGUGAAAGUGGGGGACCGCAAGGCCUCAUGCUAUAGGAGCGGCCGAUGUCUGAUUAGCUAGUUGGUGAGGUAAAGGCUCACCAAGGCGACGAUCAGUAGCUGGUCUGAGAGGACGAUGAGCGAGACGGGGAGUGGGGCGCGGCGGAGGGGGCUACGGGAGGCGGCAGUGGGGAAUUUUGGACGAUGGGCGAAAGGCUGAUCCAGCAAUGCCGGGUGUGUGAAGAAGGCCUUCGGGUUGUAAAGCACUUUUGUCCGGAAAGAAAUGGCUCUGGUUAAUACCUGGGGUCGAUGACGGUACCGGAAGAAUAAGGACCGGCUAACUACGUG
Molecule: ribosomal RNA, 490 nt
Filed under: uncultured bacterium
Lineage: Bacteria
Description: partial 16S ribosomal RNA
Rfam family: Bacterial small subunit ribosomal RNA
Source: RNAcentral